Molecule: transfer RNA, 129 nt
Filed under: Gongylonema pulchrum
Lineage: Eukaryota; Metazoa; Nematoda; Chromadorea; Rhabditida; Gongylonematidae
Rfam family: tRNA
About the family: Transfer RNA (tRNA) molecules are approximately 80 nucleotides in length. Their secondary structure includes four short double-helical elements and three loops (D, anti-codon, and T loops).
Source: Rfam by way of RNAcentral
GCACGGAUGGCCGAGUGGUCUAAGGCGCCAGACUCAAGCAUCAUAUGCUUCGCACGAGUUCGCAGUGCGUCAUCGAUUGGGCGUUCUGGUAUCGUUAUCGAUGCGUGGGUUCGAAUCCCACUCCGUGCA